RNAcentral lists this long non-coding RNA (1041 nucleotides) under Canis lupus familiaris (dog). RNAcentral's name for it is "lncRNA (ENSCAFG00000054762.1, ENSCAFG00845007538.1)". The record is from RNAcentral. Lineage: Eukaryota; Metazoa; Chordata; Mammalia; Carnivora; Canidae.
UAAAAAUUAAAAUUUAAUUUAAAAAUUUUGUACAGAUUAAAAUAUCUUAAUGUAGCACAAUUUGAAAAGAAGCAGGCUAUAGUGGAAAGGACCAGAAUUUGAUAUCUAGGUUCAUGGAUAAUUCUGCCCUUUUAUUGCUUAUGCAAAUCUGUGAAAGUCUUAAGCCUUGAGACUCAGUUAUACAUUUAUGACUUGGGGAAAAUAAUACUUGCCCUACUGUCUUAGUUUAUAAAGCUUGCCAUAACAAAAUACUGCAGACCAAGUAGCUUAAACAAGUUUUCCUCCACCCAUUCCCCCAUCCCCCCCACCCCCACCCACCCGCACCCACCCCAACCCCCCCUCCCGCAGUUCUGGAGGCUGAAAGUCCAUGAUCAAGGGCUUGGCUGGGUUGGUUUUUCUUGAAGCCUCUCUCCUUGUCUUGUAAAUAACCCCUCCUUGCUGUAACCUCAAAUGGCCUUUCCUCUCAGGGAGUUCAUCUUUAGGGGCUCUUCCUCUUCUUAUGAGGAUACUAGGGAUUGGGGCCCUACCCCAAUGGUCUCAUUUUAAUUUAAUCACCUCUUUAAAGACCCUAUCCCCAAAAAUAGUUACAUCUGUGGUUCUGGAGAUUGGGAUUUCCACAUGUAAACUUUGAGGAAACACAAUUCAGUCCAUUAUACCUACUUUCUACAUUCACUCAUUUGCUGAGAUCUAUUGGGGUUCCUUCAUGUUCCAUCCUGUGCUAGGCAAUGAGGACUGAAUGAGAGGAUCAAAUGAGAUAGAUGCCCUUUUGAAACUAAAUUAUUUUUUUAAAUGAAGGCAGACCCCAUCCGGCAUAAUUCUUUGCUUACAGGAAAUAAUUAAAGUGGAAUUAAGUGAAGAAGAUGGAAAUUUUCUAAAAAGGAAGAAAAGGCAAGUGUGGACAAAUUUAUUGAAUAGCCCUGAUAUGUGCCAGGCACUGAUUAUAAGAUUUAUAUAAAUUGUCUCAUUUAAUCCUUACUUCUACCCUGCUGGAAAGACAUUAUCAAAAUCAUUUUCCAGACGCCUGGGUGGCUUAGCAGUUGA